GGUGGCCUUUAUCAAAGUGGCAUCUGCUUCCACAUAGCUGCUGUGAUCAAAAAAAAGCCCAGAGGGAAAGUUAUCCUCAACGGUCACUGUUCUGUAACUGAUUCACAACACUGAAAUUGGAAAGGAGGGCU
RNAcentral lists this small nucleolar RNA (131 nucleotides) under Choloepus hoffmanni (Hoffmann's two-fingered sloth). The record is from RNAcentral. Lineage: Eukaryota; Metazoa; Chordata; Mammalia; Pilosa; Megalonychidae.